CGAUGCUCUAAAUUCCUUUUGCUGAUGAGAUGACACAGUCAAACUACUCUACGUAUAAGCUACCUCAUUGCUCGUCAUCCAGCAAGCUACCCCAUAUUCUGUAUUUAUCACGUAUUGGAUUUCUAAUUUCUGAGUUGUCGACCCUGUGUAGUUGUUGUAGAGGGGCUGUGGUACAACUGAUUGAAAGAAAAGAAGAUCUUGAGUGACUGAUGGGAAAAUGUUCGGUGGAAGAGAGUUAACGAUCGGGUUGAAUGGGGAUUCUCCGGUAGGUGAUUAGCCAUUAAUUUCUUACAAGGAACUAAAGUAAUCUACAAUAGCUGGAGUCAUCUCAACCUUACGAUCUAUGGGUGCUUGGCGUUCUGGUGUUCCCCCACAAGAGGCUAAUGAGUUUAGCAGAAACACCAGUUUAGAAAUAAUCUUCCUCUACCAUGCCGAACUCCGAAAGGACAGCUUUUGAGGAUGAGGAGGUGCCCUUUGAAGUUCCAAAGAAUUUGGUUUAGUAUUCUCUGCUUGUCACUAGCAUUUUGGAAUGUGAAGAGAAAAAGAUUUACAUCUAGAUCUUCAAUGUGGAACUUAAAGAUGAAGUUCCAAGCUAUUCUGGAUGAAGCAUGUUCAGUUUCAGGUGAAAGGUUUAAGUCUUCCCAAAAAAGAGCAUUUGUUUGAUAGGUCCAGCUUCUCCAUAUCCAUAGAGAAGGAUUUUUUGGAAACUAUUGUGCUUUCUAUGGGAUUGCAAAAGGAGUUUUGUAAGGGAAAGGAAGAGAGUAAGAGGGCUUGGAUUUUUAUGGAAAGGUGGUAGGAUUAGAGGGGUGGUGAUCGGUUUUCACUACUAGGAGCUGUAGAGAGAACUCAUCUGGGAGAGAGAGCUGGAAAAAAUGACAGCUUGUUAUUUUGUAAAUCAAAUGCUUUGGAGUGGAGUCGAAUAAUGGAGAUUCUUGGUAUCUAUGAACAAGCAUUUAGACAAAGACUUAAUAUGGACAAAACUUCUGUUCAUUUUAGCAGAAAUACAAAGGAGGCAGCAAAAAGAUUCAUUAUGAGUAGCAGGGGUCAAGGCUUCAAAUUCUUAUUAAACUUACCUUGGUCUGCUAGCUCUUAUAGGUACAUAAAAAAGGAAGGCUUUCUGCAACAUCUUAGAUAGGGUGAGGAGCAGAAUCAACAAUUAGAAAAUGAAGUUUUUCUUACAAGCUGGAAAGGAAAUCUUGCUCAAAGCUGUUAUUCAAUCUCUUCCAACUUACUGUACGGGAGUCUUUAAGCUUCUAGCUUCAUUACUCAGAGAGAUUAAUAAAGUUAUGAAGUAGUUUUGGUGGAAUCAUAAACAAAGUGAAGGCAAUGUUCAUUGGGCCUUAUGGAGUCAAAUGGGGAAGGCUAAAUUUGUAGGUGGUUUAGGUUUUAGAGAUUUGGAAAGCUUCAACAUUGCCUUGAUUGCAAAGCAAGGUUACAGGUUAAUUCCAAGACUUGAAGCUCUGUCAAGUAAGAUCUUGAAACUGAAAUAUUUUCCUCAUUCAUCUUUCUUUGAUGUCAAAAUUGGAACCAACCCUUCUUAUAUAUGUAGGAGUAUUCAUGCUGCAAAGAAGUUAGUAGAGGAAGGGUCAUUAUGGAGAGUCGGUAAUGAAUCACAGAUAAGAAUUUGGAAUGAUAGAUGGAUUUCUCAACCAUCUUCCUUUCAAAUUCAAAGUCCGGUCUAGGUAAUAGAUAGGGAUGCAUAUGUUUUUGCUCUUAUUGAUCCAGAACAUAGGUGUUGGAACAUUCCUUUACUUGACUCUAUUUUUAAUAGUACUGAAGCUGAUAUUAUGAAAAAGAUUCCUAUAAGUGCCUUUAACUGUCUUGAUAGAAUUAUUUAGAGGUGCUCAAAUAAUGGUAUGUUCCCUGUAAAGAGUGCAUAUCAUAUGCAUAAGGAGUUGAUGGAAAGGAAGAAAGAGCAAGGGUUGAGCUCUAAUACUAAUAAAGGUAUUUGGGUUAAGCUUUGGAAGAUGAACAUUCCUAAUGCUGCUAAAGUCUUUGUUGGUAGGACUUGUUUAGAAUCACUUCCUACUAAGGAUAAUCUUUUUAAGAAGAAAAUUGUAGAGUCCUCAACCUGUCCCAUUUGCUUGAGUAAUAUAGAAAUAGUAAAUCAUGCAUUGUGGGAUUGCCCAACAUCUAAGGAUGUAUGGAGUAAUUUCUUAAUGAAAGUUCAGAAAAGCAGUUUUACUGCUUCUAGUUUUAUGCAGUUGUUAGUCUAUAUGAGUGGAUUGCUAGAGCAGGAAUUAUUGGAGGAGGUCAUCAUGACAGCAAAGAAGAUAUGGUAAAAGAGAAAUUCUUUCAUCUUUCAAGAAGUUUUUGUCCAUCCAAAUAUGGUUCUGUAGCAAGUACAACAACUGUUGACAGAUUUUCAAGAAAGUCAAUUUUUAAAGAAUGUUCCCAGAGAUCCAUCAGAAAGUAGUAACUCGAUUUGGGUACCUCCACCUACAGAUACUUAUAAAGUAAAUUGAGAUGCUGCAAUUAAGCAGGAGAUUGGUAAAGUUGAUAUUGGCAUUGUUAUAAGGGACUUUAAAGGAAAUGUAGUAGUAUCUAGAAGUUUACAGAAACAUAUGUUUAUUGAUUCUUUUACAGCAGAAUUUCAAAGAGUACUUCAAGCAGCAAGUUUUACAAGAGAUAUAAGUUUAAGGAGGAUCAUGUUAGAAGGGGAUGCAUUGCAAAUAGUUAAUAGUUUAAAAUUCGACUCAUCUCAAUCUCAUAUAUCAUGUUUGCUGUUAUGGGAUCCUAAGCUGGUUUUGAAUCACUUUGAUUACUGGAAUAUUGCUGAUGUAAGGAGGAAUGUUAAUAUGGCUGCACAUGUGUUGGCCAAAUAUGCUUUAGGUAGUGAAGAGGAUGAAAUCAGAUUGGAUGAUAGCCAUUUAUGUAUUCUUCAUUUCAUUUGAUUGAAUUAUUGAAUAAAGAUUACUGUGAUUCAUUUCAAAAAAUAAAAUAACGAUGAAAACUAAUAAUGCGA
Carya illinoinensis is the source of this 2965-nucleotide long non-coding RNA. RefSeq lists it as uncharacterized. The record is from RefSeq and is a predicted model, not a curated record. The transcript has 4 exons. NCBI's taxonomy places the organism in Eukaryota, Viridiplantae, Streptophyta, Magnoliopsida, Fagales, Juglandaceae.